GGUGGAGCAGAGUAUUCCUCAGGCUGUCGCAGGUUACGGUGAAUCCCAAGAGUCUUUACAAAGGUAAUUUCUGAAGAAUGAUUAUAGAUGCGUGAAAACAGAGGUUAUGCUCAUCUUUAUAAUUCCUGGAGCAAGCACAGAAAGCAGAAAAGUAAUGCCUUUGCCAGUAAGACACCAAUAUUGGAAAUCAGAUGGAUUGAGUCCCUGCUGAGUGGCCAUUAAAGGAAGCACUGUCUGCUAGGUCUUUAUACUGAUGUUUUCAACACCGUUGGAAGCAUAACUAUCCGCACUGAUGACUGGGCAACAACACUUUGGUCUACCAGCCAGCUUCAGGGCUUCAACUAAUUUUUAUUAUCAACAAGAUUAUUUUCAAGAUUCAAGUGCAACACAAGAUUCAGGAGUCUAAAGCUAUGUCUCUCUUCCCUCUGUUGACACUAAAACCAUAGCAGUAACAAGUCUUGACUUUCCUCACCCCGACCCUGGCCAGAUCCUCUUUUUCACCGUGAAGUACCUUUUGGACCAGAACUAUCACCUAUGAAAAAAGCGGUAGACACCCCAUUUUCUUGAUUCAGAGAACCCAGUCUACUUCCUCCAAGUUUUGAAAGCAAAGAACAAAGUCCAACUGACCUCAGUGUCCUUGGACUUAAUGAUACCCAGGGCUCAAUCAGAAUGAGAGUCUCUGUGAAUGAAGCACAUGCCAAUUUUGGUUAUAACUUGUCUAUUAAAUAACAUUUUUUUGUGUUGAAUACAUGAUGUGACAUCUACUCAGUAAUUAACUCCAGGGAAUUUCAAAUUCUUGGGGAAGCUAUUAUGGGUGGGCAGUUCACACAAUAUUCACUAUGUAUCCCUUGCAAGUUUAAGCGAACCAAAUUUCUCAUUUGAAUUUGCCUUCUGAAAAUUCUUUCACAAUUCUCUCUAUUCUUUUUCCUAUGUGUAGCAGACAAUCAGAUGUAACCUUUGUAAAUUUAGAAAAUAAAAACUGCUUUUGAGUAGAGAAAUUAUUUUGCUAGGCCUUUUAUGGUAUUUAAUUUAUUCACACUCAUCCUCUGUACAUUUUUAAUGUAUUUAUACAAUUCCUUAAGAUUUUCCCAUUGUUCAAAAUAACGUCUAUAUAUUUUGGUGGAUGCUUUACUAAUGUCUGUUUAUUAUCACCUUAAAAAUUGUGUCAUGAUUUAAUUUAGUUCAAUUGAAUUCAAAUUCUCCUGAGAUUGUUUAGGUAAAAGACUAUCAUAUUUUUAUUCUUCCUGACAAGUGGUUUAUUAUGUUUCCACAGUUUACCUAUUACAUACAUUUUGGAAGCAGCAGAAGCACUAAAACAUUAAAUAUCUAUUAUAAUUCUGGCUGAGUGUUGCUGGGUGUUUUUCUUUGCUUUGCUUUUUUUUCUUUUUAAGUGCCAUAUGA
Myotis davidii is the source of this 1401-nucleotide long non-coding RNA. RefSeq lists it as uncharacterized. NCBI's taxonomy places the organism in Eukaryota, Metazoa, Chordata, Mammalia, Chiroptera, Vespertilionidae. The transcript has 5 exons. The record is from RefSeq and is a predicted model, not a curated record.